Polypterus senegalus (gray bichir) is the source of this 337-nucleotide long non-coding RNA. RefSeq lists it as uncharacterized. Lineage: Eukaryota; Metazoa; Chordata; Cladistia; Polypteriformes; Polypteridae. The record is from RefSeq and is a predicted model, not a curated record. The transcript is spliced from 3 exons.
UACUUUAUAUACCAUGAGAGUUACCAACAACCAUCUGGCCACAGCUUCUUGCAGCUGCCUUCUUUGCGGAGAUCUUAAACAUGGUCCAUUCAGACUUUAUGUCCCUGACCUUGAGCUCUUCUCGAGGUUAGAGUACAACUCAUUGUGAACAAAAGCCUCUGCUAAUCUUUACCAGCAAACAUUAAGUACAUCUUCAAGUUUUCCAGGUGUGAUGCCCAGGAUAAUGUGAUAUGAGAAGAACAUUUGAGCAACACACUUAACAAGAUGAAAAACCAUCUCAACACACAAUGAACUGAAAAGGAAAAUACAACUCGGCAGCCAUAUUGAGACAGGCAUG